CCGCCGCGGGCCUGCACUCCUCCGGGAUAUUCUCUCUCAUCCACUUCCUGUUGGCCUCGUUGGCCGCGAUGUCACACUCCUCGAAAUCGAUCUUAUUGGCCGCCACGAAGCCCAACACAUCCUGCUGCUGCUUUUUGAUCUGCGUGCAGGGGGAGAUGAGAGAGAGAGAGGGGAAGUUGUCAGUUAGACAUGUGUUAACUUGAGGAAACAUAAGGGUUCAGCGUGCUGCCGUCAGUCUGUUGCAACAAUAAGGACACUGUGCCUCUCCACUGGAGGAUGGCCCUACAAGGCCUGACGGAAACAAGCGUUCCUCUGGGACUCGAGAGGAGGACUUUGUUAUUCUAUGGGGGGCCAUUCGGGGUUCAGAAUCUUGCCCAAGGACACUUCAGCAUGCAGAUGGGUCAGACUGGGGAUGGAACUGCCGACCUUCAGGUUGAGGGACGACCACUCUACCCCUCAGCCACAGCCGCCCUAUGCGUGUGACCAUGAUUUGCUGCAGAUAUAUGUCUAACUUUGGUUAUUCUCAUACUCCUCCUCUAAUGGCAUCAUCACAUCAAAUUGAAUUCACCCGAUUCCUUGUGUGAAUUGAAAUAUUAUGACACAAACAUGUCAAACUAGUGACAUUCCCAUUUCCCUCUGCAGUACUUUGAAUUGAGUGCAAAUCAGCAAAGCUCUAAAAUGUGUCAACAUAGUAAACAUUAUACCUGCUAAAACACUGUGUUAGCAAGUUAACAUUAGGAAUGUGGAAAUGUUGCCACGUACAUUAUCACUUGCACUAAUCUGAAUUUAAAGUUAUCUUCCUGAUUUUAUUUCACACGCUACCAGAGAACACUGUUAACAAUGUUUUACACAAACCUGUUCUUUUACUACACAAGAAGAAAGAUCUGCUGCAUCUCAACAUGAUUUAGAUCAGUCAGUAAUGGAAUUACACGUGCCUUUCUUACUCCUGCAACACUCUGAGCUGCAGGGUUUAAUUCAUUCAAUGAAUCCUUUGCAUACCCAUUCUGUUAUAAACAGCACAGCACACAAGAACAGAUACAAGAGAUGAGAGGUCGGUUUAAUUUAACUCACCUAUUGUUGCACUGAUCAUUAUUUUGGACAAUCCACAACCUGUGUUAACCGUGGCAAAGGAACCUGUACCAUGCUGUGCUUGGUUUAUGUUCCACAUCGUGUCAUCAUCAUCAUUUGACAGUGUGGCAGCAGGGCACUGCGAUAACAUUCAGACCUGAUCAAUCCCAGAAUAGGGUCAGAACGCUGACAUCAUCAGGCAGACAUUGAUUAGAAGCACUGUAUCCACAGCACUGGCUCCGAUCAAUACAGUGGAAACUGAUUGUGGUUGAGAGUGAUUCACUCACACGCAAAGGAGUUAACUUUUUUUAAUAUUUUAGAUACUGUAAGAUUAAAUUACCUCUAAUCCUUCAGGAGUCCAACAUUCGAAUUGGGAAAAAGCUCUCUCUGGACCAGAGGAAAAAUGAAUCACUCCCAGCUCAUUGUGACUGUGAGAGACAAAAGUUUUUGUCUUGUACUGGAACUCAAGCAGCAACAGUAGCCUCUACCCAAUCCUGUGCUCAGUAAGCAUUACAACAUCAUUAGAACAGCUUCUUACACUGCUGCUCUGGCCGGGUUCCUUCACUGCAGCCCAAUGUUGAAACAACAGCAAAAGGCCAAAAACCUGACCUCUUGUACAAACCAACUGACUCUCAGCCAACUUGAGACCAUAAAUGUCAAACAGACAGUGAAGACCGCCCAGUGAAUCUGAGAUUUACUGAGGGGAAGAAAGCCUGAGACUUGAAAGCACACACACAUAAAACAUUGGAACACAAUCUCACACAGAGUGUUAUCAAGCUGUUGCUGAGUCUUGGUGCAUUUACUGUGGCAAUGAGGAAACUGUACAAUCUGACUGCAGGCAGUAAAUGUGUUUUCAAACAAUGAGACUCAGCAAGUCUAGUUGGCCUAGUUGUCUAGUCAAGAUAAACGGCUGUGUGUGUGUUAUGUCUAGCUAUUACCCAUUUAGUCGCAUUAUGGGGACCUGUCUCCCCUUAUGUGGACAAACAACAAGACCCCAUGAUGUCAUCAAUUACAUUUCGAGGUGAAUACAUGUUUAAUGUUAAGUGUAAGUCAAGUUAUGGUUGAGGAGAAGGUCUCAAGAGUGGGAUAGACUGUAGAAAUAAAAUUUCCUUGUGGGAGUAAUUAAGUAUUGUGAAUCUCUCGGAGAAUGAAUGCAAGUCUAUGUGAUGUACUUUGUCUGUGUGUGCGCUCGUAUUUAUUUCUUUAGAACCUUAUUUUGCAGAAUAAACAUUGGCCUUGUCAAGACCA
This is a long non-coding RNA of Pleuronectes platessa (European plaice), 2316 nucleotides long. RefSeq lists it as uncharacterized. The record is from RefSeq and is a predicted model, not a curated record. The transcript is spliced from 3 exons. Lineage: Eukaryota; Metazoa; Chordata; Actinopteri; Pleuronectiformes; Pleuronectidae.